This 601-nucleotide ribosomal RNA is filed under the name uncultured bacterium. RNAcentral describes it as "bacterial SSU rRNA". It matches the Rfam family "Bacterial small subunit ribosomal RNA", at positions 753 to 1359 of the family's 1533-position model. The record is from RNAcentral.
UCGAAGGUGCGGGUAUCGAACAGGAUUAGAUACCCUGGUAGUCCGCACGGUAAACGAUGGAUGCCCGCUGUUGGCGAUAUAGUGUCAGCGGCCAAGCGAAAGCGUUAAGCAUCCCACCUGGGGAGUACGCCGGCAACGGUGAAACUCAAAGGAAUUGACGGGGGCCCGCACAAGCGGAGGAACAUGUGGUUUAAUUCGAUGAUACGCGAGGAACCUUACCCGGGCUUGAACUGCAGGAGAAGGAAACAGAGAUGUUGACGCCCUUCGAGGCUCCUGUGGAGGUGCUGCAUGGUUGUCGUCAGCUCGUGCCGUGAGGUGUCGGCUUAAGUGCCAUAACGAGCGCAACCCUUUUCGUCAGUUGCCAUCAGGUGAUGCUGGGCACUCUGGCGAUACUGCCACCGUAAGGUGUGAGGAAGGUGGGGAUGACGUCAAAUCAGCACGGCCCUUACGUCCGGGGCUACACACGUGUUACAAUGGGGAGUACAGAGAGUUGGUUGUACGCAAGUACGGUCUAAUCAUGAAAGCUCUCCUCAGUUCGGAUUGGGGUCUGCAACCCGACCCCAUGAAGCUGGAUUCGCUAGUAAUCGCGCAUCAGCCUGCG